Molecule: non-coding RNA, 1149 nt
Organism: Danio rerio (zebrafish)
Lineage: Eukaryota; Metazoa; Chordata; Actinopteri; Cypriniformes; Danionidae
Source: RefSeq, a predicted model, not a curated record
UUUUUUGACUUUUAAGGUCUCUUUAUUACAAAAACAAUUAGCUAAAGCAAUUAGCUAAUUAAAAUUUACAUUACUUAUUAAAAAACAAAGCAUGUGUUUCUUUUUAAACUACUGAUACUUACAAGUAAAUAUUUAGAACAUUUCAGAGUCAGCAUGACAAAUACACUGAUUUACACCACAUUUGUGAUUAAACAUUGCCAGAUCAUUUACCAUUUUAUAAAAACCAUACUCUGCAAUAAUGCGAGAUUUUACUAAUCAUUUUGAUAUUAAAAAAGCAUCAGUUGAACCCUUAUCAUUUAUUUUAUGUUUCCUUGACAGCCAAAGUGCCAUCUUUGCUUUCCCCAAUAAGAACUUUUGUGAGGGAGAUAGUGUGGCCUUGUUCACCUUCGCGAACACCCUUGGAGCUAUGGAGAGACCGAACGGAAGCAAUUUGAACUGAUGGGUCUUCCCUUCGAAAUGGAAUCUUAGAAAGCGAUGAUGAUGACGCGCGAUUGGAAUGUGCAAAUAUGGGUCUUUUAAGUCCAUCUUUGCCAUCCAAUCUUGAGGCUUGAUUGUACACAGGACAUCGGUUAACCGGCCUAGAUAGCAGGUAGUAAUUGGCCCGAGCUCGGCUCCGACUCGGCGCCUCCGACUCGGCAUCGGCAAGUACUAUCCGGGCCGAGUCUGGCCCGCAGCUCGCUCCCGCACAUGCAUUUGGGAUGCGGCUGUUAAGCACUGGCCCAAUUCCGGUCAACCACAUCUGGCCCGAGUCUGUCUGUAGAGUCCGGGCCGCUUCUGGCAAGGACUCAGCAUGGACUCGGCAUGGACUCGGCUUGUUUAACUAAUGACAACCGUAAAAACUCCUGAUCCAAACUCCAAUCCAGGUGGUGGCGGUAAUGCUCCAAAAAGCAGGUUGCCAACCGCCACGAAGAUUACAAGAAGAAAAAGAAGUUUGUUCUUAACAUUGGAUUCCUGUCAGAAAGUCCACAACAAGAUCCUUGAGCAAGAUCAAACACGCUUGGCACAGAAGAGAAACAUCCAAAAGCAACUGUGAUGUCUCACUGGCAUACAGAUGACGACGAUGAUUGCCCGUCAUACAGCUAAAGAAACAAACAGGCACAACUAUAGUGACAGUGAUGAAGAAAAAUUAUUUAAAACAAGGAGGCUCGA